This 73-nucleotide transfer RNA is filed under the name Paramuricea clavata. It matches the Rfam family "tRNA". From Rfam's summary of the family: Transfer RNA (tRNA) molecules are approximately 80 nucleotides in length. The record is from Rfam by way of RNAcentral. Lineage: Eukaryota; Metazoa; Cnidaria; Anthozoa; Malacalcyonacea; Plexauridae.
GACCGCGUAGUUCAGUUGGCAGAGCAUUGGGCUAGUAUUCCAAAGGUCGUAGGUUCGAUUCCCACCGUGGCCG